CUCGUGUUCUACUCCGGGAAGCCGCCCAAGGGGGAGAAGACCAACUGGAUCAUGCACGAGUACCGCCUCGCCGACGUCGAUCGCUCCGCCCGCAAGAACCGCAGCCUCCGGGUACGCCAACAUUGUCCUACACGUGCCCAACAAUUAGAUGAGGUUGUACGCUGCAAUAUACAGACCGCCAUGUACCUGAUCCGAUUUCUCGCUGGCGUUUCGUAAUGCAGCUUGAUGACUGGGUGCUGUGCCGGAUCUACCACAAGAAGGGGGAGGUGGGAAAGCAAGCCAACCCGGGCCGGAGGGCAGCCGGACCCAAGAAGACUCGGCCGGCUCAGCCG
RNAcentral lists this long non-coding RNA (332 nucleotides) under Musa acuminata (dwarf banana). RNAcentral's name for it is "long non-coding RNA (MACU_LNC003227)". The record is from RNAcentral. Lineage: Eukaryota; Viridiplantae; Streptophyta; Magnoliopsida; Zingiberales; Musaceae.